CAAUAGCGUAUAUUAAAGUUGUUGCGGUUAAAAGCUCGUAGUUGGAUUUCUGCCGAGGACGACCGGUCCGCCCUCUGGGUGAGUAUCUGGUUCGGCCUGGGCAUCUUCUUGGAGAACGUAUCUGCACUUGACUGUGUGGUGCGGUAUCCAGGACUUUUACUUUGAGGAAAUUAGAGUGUUUCAAGCAGGCACACGCCUUGAAUAUAUUAGCAUGGAAUAAUGAUAUAGGAUCUUGGUUCUAUUUUGUUGGUUUCUAGAGCUAAGAUAAUGAUUAAUAGGGACAAUUGGGGGCAUUCGUAUUAACGCGUCAGAGGUGAAAUUCUUGGAUUGCGUUACGACGAACUACUGCGAAAGCAUUUGCCAAGGAUGUUUUCAUUGAUCAAGAACGAAAGUAAGGGGAUCGAAGACGAUCAGAUACCAU
Molecule: ribosomal RNA, 421 nt
Filed under: uncultured eukaryote
Lineage: Eukaryota
Description: SSU rRNA
Rfam family: Eukaryotic small subunit ribosomal RNA
Source: RNAcentral